This 516-nucleotide ribosomal RNA is filed under the name uncultured bacterium. RNAcentral's name for it is "bacterial SSU rRNA". It matches the Rfam family "Bacterial small subunit ribosomal RNA", at positions 384 to 896 of the family's 1533-position model. The record is from RNAcentral.
UGACGGAGCGACGCCGCGUGGAGGAUGAAGUCUUUCGGGAUGUAAACUUUAAUAGUAUGGCAGGAAGCAAAAGGGGCUAAUACCCUCUUAGUUGACCGCCAUACGAAAGGGGUGGCUAACUCCGUGCCAGCAGCCGCGGUAAUACGGAGACCCCUAGCGUUGUUCGGAAUCACUGGGCUUAAAGCGUGUGUAGGCGGAGCGGUAAGUGCUUUGUGAAAUCCCCGGCCUCAAUCCGGGAAUUGCUUGGCAUACUGUCGCUCUUGAGGCAGGUAGGGGUCGCUGGAACGUUAGGUGGAGCGGUGAAAUGCGUAGAUAUCUAACGGAACGCCUGUGGCGAAAGCGGGCGACUGGGCCUGUCCUGACGCUGAGACGCGAAAGCGUAGGGAGCAAACGGGAUUAGAUACCCCGGUAGUCUACGCCGUAAACGAUGCGCACUAGGUACGAGGGGCUCUGACGCCGAUCGUGCCGAAACAAAAGCGAUAAGUGCGCCGCCUGGGGAGUACGGCCGCAAGGCUA